RNAcentral lists this ribosomal RNA (513 nucleotides) under uncultured bacterium. RNAcentral's name for it is "bacterial SSU rRNA". It matches the Rfam family "Bacterial small subunit ribosomal RNA", at positions 8 to 523 of the family's 1533-position model. The record is from RNAcentral.
AGAGUUUGAUCCUGCUCAGGAUGAACGCUAGCGGGAGGCCUAACACAUGCAAGUCGAACGGGAUUGGUAGCAAUACCAUGAGAGUGGCGCACGGGUGAGUAACGCGUAUGCAACCUACCUGUAACAGAGGGAUAGCCCAUAGAAAUGCGGAUUAAUAUCUCAUAGUUCUAUUAGAUCGCAUGAUUUGAUAGAUAAAGCUCCGGCGGUUACAGAUGGGCAUGCGUGACAUUAGCUAGUUGGUAAGGUAACGGCUUACCAAGGCUACGAUGUCUAGGGGUUCUGAGAGGAUGAUCCCCCACACUGGUACUGAGACACGGACCAGACUCCUACGGGAGGCAGCAGUGAGGAAUAUUGGUCAAUGGGCGCAAGCCUGAACCAGCCAUCCCGCGUGCAGGAUGACGGCCCUAUGGGUUGUAAACUGCUUUUAUACACCAAGAAAAAUCCCCACGUGUGGGGACCCGACGGUAGUGUAUGAAUAAGCAUCGGCUAACUCCGUGCCAGCAGCCGCGGUAA